This 374-nucleotide ribosomal RNA is filed under the name uncultured organism. RNAcentral's name for it is "partial 16S ribosomal RNA". It matches the Rfam family "Bacterial small subunit ribosomal RNA", at positions 527 to 896 of the family's 1533-position model. The record is from RNAcentral.
GUAGGGUGCGAGCGUUAAUCGGAAUUACUGGGGCGUAAAGCGUGCGCAGGCGGUUGUGCAAGACAGAUGUGAAAUCCCCCGGGGCUCAACCUGGGGAAUUGCAUUUGUGACUGCACGGCUAGAGUGUGUCAGACGGGGGGUAGAAUUCCACGUGUAGCAGUGAAAUGCGUAGAGAUGUGGAGGAAUACCGAUGGCGAAGGCAGCCCCCUGGGAUAACACUGACGCUCAUGCACGAAAGCGUGGGGAGCAAACAGGAUUAGAUACCCUGGUAGUCCACGCCCUAAACGAUGUCAACUAGUUGUCGGGUCUUAAUUGACUUGGUAACGCAGCUAACGCGCGAAGUUGACCGCCUGGGGAGUACGGUCGCAAGAUUA